GCAGCCGCGGUAAUACGUAGGUGGCAAGCGUUAUCCGGAAUUACUGGGUGUAAAGGGUGUGUAGGCGGGACUGCAAGUCAGAUGUGAAAAUUAUGGGCUCAACCCAUAACCUGCGUCUGAAACUGUAGUUCUUGAGAGUGGGAGAGGUAGAUGGAAUUCCUGGUGUAGCGGUGAAAUGCGUAGAUAUCAGGAGGAACACCGGUGGCGAAGGCGAUCUACUGGACCACAACUGACGCUGAGACACGAAAGCGUGGGGAGCAAACAGGAUUAGAUACCCC
RNAcentral lists this ribosomal RNA (278 nucleotides) under uncultured Oscillospiraceae bacterium. RNAcentral describes it as "partial 16S ribosomal RNA". It matches the Rfam family "Bacterial small subunit ribosomal RNA", at positions 511 to 788 of the family's 1533-position model. Lineage: Bacteria; Bacillati; Bacillota; Clostridia; Eubacteriales; Oscillospiraceae. The record is from RNAcentral.